RNAcentral lists this transfer RNA (243 nucleotides) under Candidatus Liberibacter solanacearum. Its description in RNAcentral is "partial 16S-23S ribosomal RNA intergenic spacer". The stretch from base 37 to 110 matches the Rfam family "tRNA". Lineage: Bacteria; Pseudomonadati; Pseudomonadota; Alphaproteobacteria; Hyphomicrobiales; Rhizobiaceae. The record is from RNAcentral.
UUUUGCGAUUGAUGGGGUCAUUUAAGUUUAUGUUAAGGGCCCAUAGCUCAGGCGGUUAGAGUGCACCCCUGAUAAGGGUGAGGUCGGUAGUUCGAAUCUACCUGGGCCCACCAUUCAGUCAGGUAAGGGGCCGUAGCUCAGCUGGGAGAGCGCCUGCUUUGCAAGCAGGAUGUCAGCGGUUCGAUCCCGCUCGGCUCCACCAAUUGCGAAUUUAUAGUUUUUUUGUUCUAGGGAUUUUUUUUA